UGUCAGUGCAUGCAGCACAGAAGGGUCCUUUUAGCACUGAGUGCUGCCAUCAGCCGCUCUCAUGAUCCCCUGUGCUGAGCCCAAGACCUGCCCUGCCCUCAGAGCAGCGACCUUUGUUUUCGGGGAGCUCCCAGCAACACCACCACCGCCCCUGAUGGGUUCGUGCAGCUUUGGGGUUUGCAGGCGAGGUUCUGAGCCACACUCCUGCCGUCAGUAAAGGACCUGUCACCCUCCUUCCGUCAGCCGGGCCCUGCUCUGACUGCUGUCCCCAUGCAUAGUCACACGUAGGCCUCGUGGUGGGUGUCUGCACUGGGGGCACACUGCUGUGCAACAGAAGGAUCUCUGGGCUGUAUGGGCACGGCAGCAGGACAGGAUAUUUUUGGUCUGGAGCACCAGCAGGCACACCCAGCUCUUGUGAAAUGCGGCCUAAGGAGCCCGCAGCAGCCGAGCAGGCAGGUGGGGCUUCACCGUUCCUUCAGUGUCUCUGAAGAAAUGGGAGAAGGAAAGGCUGCGUGUAUUGGACUGUCUGAAACCAUCUUCUCAUUCCUGCAUGAAAGCCCAUGUCAGCCCUGCUGAGUUCGGCUUUAUGGCUCUAGGAAGGAAUGUGGUUUGAGUCUGGUGCCUGCCCCACUGGGCUCCUCCCCACGGAGCUGCAAUUAAACAGAACUGAACACGAUGUGAAUAUGGCAAUAAGUAAUUCUAAGCAUGAACAAAGGGCAGAGUGUAUUCCAGCAUCCAGAGCGUGCUCCUGCUAUUCCACAGGGUUAGCAUGUUGGAAAGGACUCAAGCCAUACCAUCAGCACAGUCCCUGAAACACAGAUUUAAGAAGAGAUUACAUGAAUUUCCUGCGUGGCCAAUGCAAUAUCUGUGCUCUACAAGCUGACAAGAAGAAUAAUUUUCACUGUCUUAAUGUAGCA
Molecule: long non-coding RNA, 917 nt
Filed under: Gallus gallus (chicken)
Lineage: Eukaryota; Metazoa; Chordata; Aves; Galliformes; Phasianidae
Description: long non-coding RNA NONGGAT006613
Source: RNAcentral